GACGAACGCUGGCGGCGUGCUUAACACAUGCAAGUCGAACGGAAAGUCCCUGCUUUUUUGGGGUGCUCGAGUUGCGAACGGGUGAGUAACACUUGAGUACCCUGCCCUUGACUUUGGGAUAACUUCAGGACACUGGGGCUAAUACCGCAUAGGAGCUCCUGCUGCAUGGUGGGGGUUGGAAAGUUUCGGCGGUUGGGGAUGGACUCGCGGCUUAUCAGCUUGUUGGUGGGGUAGUGUCUUACCAAGGCUUUGACGGGUAGCCGGGCUGAGAGGGUGACCUGAUACACUGGGCCGGGGAUACGGCACAGACCAGUAUGGGAGGCAGGAGAGGGGAAGGGUAUAUAAGGGGCGGAAGGCUGGUGCAGCCAAGCAGUGCGGGGGAUGACAGCAUUCGGGUUGUAAAGUGCUUUUGUUUUUGCCGAGGCGUGAGUGACGGUAAUGGGUAAAGAAGCACCGGCUAACUACGUG
This 468-nucleotide ribosomal RNA is filed under the name uncultured bacterium. Its description in RNAcentral is "partial 16S ribosomal RNA". It matches the Rfam family "Bacterial small subunit ribosomal RNA", at positions 28 to 507 of the family's 1533-position model. The record is from RNAcentral.